RNAcentral lists this ribosomal RNA (499 nucleotides) under uncultured bacterium. Its description in RNAcentral is "partial 16S ribosomal RNA". It matches the Rfam family "Bacterial small subunit ribosomal RNA", at positions 28 to 507 of the family's 1533-position model. The record is from RNAcentral.
GACGAACGCUGGCGGCGUGCUUAACACAUGCAAGUCGAACGGGCCUGUCUUCUUUUUUGGGGGUGGGUUGAGUGGCGAACGGGUGAGUAUCACGUGAGUAACCUGCCCUUCGGUCCUGGAUAACCGCUUGAAAGGGCGGCUAAUACGGGGUGGUCCGGUUGGUCCGCAUGGGCUGGUCGGGAUAGAUUCACUGUUUUUGGUGUUUCGGCGGGGGAUGGGCUCGCGGCCUAUCAGCUUGUUGGUGAGGUGAUGGCCUACCAAGGCGGUGACGGGUAGCCGGCCUGAGAGGGUGGGCGGCCACACUGGGACUGAGAUACGGCCCAGACUCCUGCGGGAGGCAGCAGUGGGGGGUAUUGCACAAUGGGCGGAAGCCUGAUGCAGCGACGUCGCGUGAGGGAUGGAGGCCUUCGGGUUGUGAACCUCUGUUUCCGGUGGUGAAGGCCCUGUCCGUGUGGUGGGGUUGACGGUAGCCGGGGAUGAAGCGCCGGCUAACUACGUG